Molecule: non-coding RNA, 747 nt
Filed under: Prosopocoilus confucius
Lineage: Eukaryota; Metazoa; Arthropoda; Insecta; Coleoptera; Lucanidae
Source: RNAcentral
AAAAGUUUUAUUGUAGCUUAAAAUUCGGUUUUUAGUGGGCUCACAUACGAAAAUUAAACUAGAAGGGUCGAUGUUGUAGUGAUUAAAUUUAAUGAUUAAAGGGAUUUAGAAUUAGAUAUUUAAAGGUGAACAGAUUAAUCUUGUGCCAGCAAUUGCGGUUAAACAGGAUGUUCUUCUGAAUUUGGCUCGGGUGGUAGUGAUCUUCUUUGGGUUUAAGGUAAAAAGGCUGUAUAAGGUGAAAUUUUGCGGUUGAUUAAUUUGAGUUUAAGAGAAAAUCUACUAGAUUUAAUGAUAGACUAGGAUUAGAUACCCUAUUAUUAUAAAUGUAAAUAUGAACUCCUGAGAAGUAUUAGUAUAUUCUUGAAAUUUAAAAAAUUUGGCGGUGUUUUAGUCUAUUCAGAGGAACCUGUCCUGUAAUUGAUGAUCCACGAUUAAUUGAACUUUUUCUUUAAGUUUGUAUAUCGUCGUUAUUUGAAUAUCUUUAAAGGGUUUAAUAUUCAGGAUUUUAAAUUAGAAAUUAAAUCAGAUCAAGAUGCAGUUGAUGGAAGAGGAGAGAUGGGUUACAAUGGAGAUAUUUAUAUGGUUUAAAGAAUGAGAUUUUUUUAAUAAAAAGGAUUUGAUAGUAAAAUGAAUAAUUUAAUUUAUUUGAUUAAAGCUCUAGAAUAUGCACAUAUCGCCCGUCGCUCCCACCACAAGGUGGGAUAAGUCGUAACAAAGUAGGUGUACCGGAAGGUGUACCUAGAAAGA